Molecule: long non-coding RNA, 1698 nt
Organism: Acinonyx jubatus (cheetah)
Lineage: Eukaryota; Metazoa; Chordata; Mammalia; Carnivora; Felidae
Exons: 5
Source: RefSeq, a predicted model, not a curated record
GGUCUGCUCUGAAGGUCAGGGCCACGGACUGUUCUAGAUUUUAAAGCAUGUUAGACACAGUUUUACUUUGAGGCAGAGCGACUUACAAGAGGGGUGCCUGCGAGAGAUUAAAAGAUUACACUUGUCGUCCCCUGCUUUCAUGGGAAAAGUACCAACUUCUCUUUUGGCCUGUAGACUCAGACAAAACCAGCGUGGUGGCCUUCAUGGGCUGUUGAGCAGAGGUGGAGGAGAGCAGCAGGGAAGAGAUAGGGCAUCCUGGACUCCCCUCACGAGUCACCGAGGGUAAUUUUCUCAGAAGUCUAGAUGGAUGCCAGUAAGCCCUCUGUCCAGACAGGGGAGGUGAUAGAGCUCGCUUUGUGUUUCCAGUUGAAAACAAAGGCUCGUUAGGAUUCGCGGCAGCCUGUGCGGCCCUGGGGCUCCAGGGACCAGCUGGCACCUGGACGGCGGCUGUGAAAAAACACUGGAGGCAGAACUCAGCUGAGCUGCAACCUCGUGAGCUCAAGUGGGGGUCACCCCUAGCUGAGGUUACCGCUGAGGGAAUGGGGUCAUCCGCCCCGGAGAACCUGAGCGGCUGCGCGGGGACGCGGACAAAAGCCGCUUUGUGGAGGCGGCGAGUCCUUCAACGGCGCCACCGUGUGGCAGCGCCGGGAAGCGGCGGCGGCGGCGGGCGCCGCGGAUUCUGAGGCCGACUCUCGCACGCCCUGACCUUCUCCCACCUUCUCUGACAGGACUCCAUGGUGACAGCCUGCCCCAUGAGGCUCUGCCCAGCUCUUAGAGGACACCACUCUCCAGGGGCUGCCCCAAACCUGGUGAUGCUCUUCAGGGCCUGGGGAGGAGGCUGAAGAGGCAGUUCUGGGCCUGAACUUCCCUGAUUCUCCCUGUCACAGCGGUUCUCAGCUCUCUCUCUCUGCCCCAUCGCCAUCCCCAAACCAUCUGCGAGGUACCAACUCUUCCCCCAAUGACUCAUAUCCCACCUCUGCCCCUGAGCAGCCCCCCACCCAACAUCCAGUCUUCUCAGGACUGCAACCUGCCUCCACAGUCAUCUCCCUGUUGCUGUCGUGUUUCCAGGGACAGACCAAUCAACAGUAACCAUCGUCUGCAAUCCCUUUCCCUUCCUCCUCACAUCCUGUCCCUGCCUAGAAGUGGGACAGUGUUGUGAUCCUCGUUUUACAGGUGACGGAGGCCCAUCACGGUUCUACUCCCAUAACGAACUCAUCCUCAGGAAGAUCACCAGUCUGGUGCCUUCACACACACACCUGUUCCCAGGGGCCACUUCAGCCCGGCUCUGAGAUUUCACUGCAUACAACCCACGUCUACAUUUAAGGUUUCAAAGGAAACCAGAAAAAAGGGAUUUUGCCUGCAAUUUCUCCCUGUUCUCUGGAGUGACCCUAGUGCUUCCUGUGUGCUCUCCCCUCCCCCCAUCCCUUGACAUGAUGGACCCUUUCCUCUUGGGAACUGAAAGAGAAGAAAAUCAUCCAUGAUAAGUAGCAGCUGUCAAAUAGGAAGCUUCAUGCUCCGGGAAAAGCGAAAUCUCCCACCAUGCAAACUCAUGUACUACAGGUUCAAGUACACUUUUCUUCUGUAGGGAAAUUGGAAAGACUGAAAUGAGCUCACCCAUCAGUGUUACCUCCAGCCCUCCUUGCUUUGUGGUAUUCUACAACUCUGAAAGUUAUAGAAAAUGGAUAGUAAUACAAGUAA